AUUGAACGCUGGCGGCAGGCCUAACACAUGCAAGUCGAACGGUAACAGGAAGAAGCUUGCUUCUUUGCUGCCGAGUGGCGGACGGGUGAGUAAUGUCUGGGAAACUGCCUGAUGGAGGGGGGUAACUACUGGAAACGGUAGCUAAUACCGCAUAACGUCGCAAGACCAAAGAGGGGGACCUUCGGGCCUCUUUCCAUCGGAUGUGCCCAGAUGGGAUUAGCUAGUAGGUGGGGUAACGGCUCACCUAGGCGACGAUCCCUAGCUGGUCUGAGAGGAUGACCAGCCACACUGGAACUGAGACACGGUCCAGGCUCCUACGGGAGGCAGCAGUGGGGAAUAUUGCACAAUGGGCGAAAGCCUGAUGCAGCCAUGCCGCGUGUAUGAAGAAGGCCUUCGGGUUGUAAAGUACUUUCAGCGGGGAGGAAGGGAGUAAAGUUAAUACCUUUGCUCAUUGACGUUACCCGCAGAAGAAGCACCGGCUAACUCCGUG
This 490-nucleotide ribosomal RNA is filed under the name uncultured bacterium. Its description in RNAcentral is "partial 16S ribosomal RNA". It matches the Rfam family "Bacterial small subunit ribosomal RNA", at positions 30 to 507 of the family's 1533-position model. The record is from RNAcentral.